GACGAACGCUGGCGGCGUGCCUAAUACAUGCAAGUAGAACGCACAGUUUAUACCGUAGCUUGCUACACCAUAAACUGUGAGUUGCGAACGGGUGAGUAACGCGUAGGUAACCUGCCUGGUAGCGGGGGAUAACUAUUGGAAACGAUAGCUAAUACCGCAUAAUAUUGAUUAUCGCAUGAUAAUUGAUUGAAAGAUGCUAUUGCAUCACUACCAGAUGGACCUGCGUUGUAUUAGCUAGUAGGUGAGGUAACGGCUCACCUAGGCGACGAUACAUAGCCGACCUGAGAGGGUGAUCGGCCACACUGGGACUGGGACACGGCCCAGACUCCUACGGGAGGCAGCAGUAGGGAAUCUUCGGCAAUGGACGAAAGUCUGACCGAGCAACGCCGCGUGAGUGAAGAAGGUUUUCGGAUCGUAAAGCUCUGUUGUAAGAGAAGAACGGGUGUGAGAGUGGAAAGUUCACACUGUGACGGUAUCUUACCAGAAAGGGACGGCUAACUACGUG
RNAcentral lists this ribosomal RNA (505 nucleotides) under uncultured bacterium. RNAcentral's name for it is "partial 16S ribosomal RNA". It matches the Rfam family "Bacterial small subunit ribosomal RNA", at positions 28 to 507 of the family's 1533-position model. The record is from RNAcentral.